This 255-nucleotide ribosomal RNA is filed under the name uncultured bacterium. Its description in RNAcentral is "partial 16S ribosomal RNA". It matches the Rfam family "Bacterial small subunit ribosomal RNA", at positions 524 to 776 of the family's 1533-position model. The record is from RNAcentral.
UACGGAGGGGGGGCAAGGCUUGUUCGGAAUUACUGGGCGUAAAGGGCUCGUAGGUGGCCAACUAAGUCAGACGUGAAAUCCCUCAGCUUAACUGGGGAACUGCGUCUGAUACUGGAUGGCUUGAGUUUGGGAGAGGGAUGCGGAAUUCCAGGUGUAGCGGUGAAAUGCGUAGAUAUCUGGAGGAACACCGGUGGCGAAGGCGGCAUCCUGGACCAAUACUGACACUGAGGAGCGAAAGCCAGGGGAGCAAACGGG